AACGAACGCUGGCGGCAUGCCUAACACAUGCCAGUCGAACGAGACCUUCGGGUCUAGUGGCGCACGGGUGCGUAACGCGUGGGAACCUGCCCUUAGGUUCGGAAUAACUCCCCGAAAGGGGUGCUAAUACCGGAUAAUGUCUUCGGACCAAAGAUUUAUCGCCUUUGGAUGGGCCCGCGUUGGAUUAGCUAGUUGGUAGGGUAAAAGCCUACCAAGGCGACGAUCCAUAGCUGGUCUGAGAGGAUGAUCAGCCACACUGGGACUGAGACACGGCCCAGACUCCUACGGGAGGCAGCAGUGGGGAAUAUUGGACAAUGGGCGAAAGCCUGAUCCAGCAAUGCCGCGUGAGUGAUGAAGGCCUUAGGGUUGUAAAGCUCUUUUACCCGGGAUGAUAAUGACGGUACCGGGAGAAUAAGCGCCGGCUAACUCCGUG
This 433-nucleotide ribosomal RNA is filed under the name uncultured bacterium. Its description in RNAcentral is "partial 16S ribosomal RNA". It matches the Rfam family "Bacterial small subunit ribosomal RNA", at positions 29 to 507 of the family's 1533-position model. The record is from RNAcentral.